GAUGAAGAACGUAGCGAAAUGCGAAAAGUUAUGUGAAUUGCAGAAUUCAGUGAACCAUCGAAUCUUUGAACGCACAUUGCGCCCGCUGGAACUCCGGCGGGCACGCCUGUCCGAGCGUCAUUUCAACCCUCAGGCCCCCCUUCGCGGGCGGGCCUGGUGUUGGGGCCCGGCCGCUACCCUGCGGCCGUCCCCUAAAUCCAGUGGCGGCCUCGCCGUGAUCCCUUGCGUAGUAAUGCACCUCGCACCGGAGAGCGCCGUGGCCACGCCGUAAAACCCCCAAUUUUCAAUGGUUGACCUCGGAUCAGGUGGGAAUACCCGCUGAACUUAAGCAUAUCAAUAAGCGGAGGA
RNAcentral lists this unclassified non-coding RNA (348 nucleotides) under soil metagenome. RNAcentral describes it as "partial contains 5.8S ribosomal RNA, internal transcribed spacer 2, and large subunit ribosomal RNA". The stretch from base 1 to 120 matches the Rfam family "5.8S ribosomal RNA", at positions 35 to 154 of the family's 154-position model. The record is from RNAcentral.